Long non-coding RNA from Aethalodelphis obliquidens (Pacific white-sided dolphin), 350 nucleotides. RefSeq lists it as uncharacterized. The record is from RefSeq and is a predicted model, not a curated record. Lineage: Eukaryota; Metazoa; Chordata; Mammalia; Artiodactyla; Delphinidae. The transcript has 3 exons.
AUAAAUAUUAUGCUUUUCUUCCUCAUCUCUUUCAACACAUCUGCACGUCUUCAUGGUUUGAAGGUCAUCCAGCUGACAUAUGAGUAUCAGUAACUUUUCCCAGAAAGUCUAAGACCCAGGGCUCCAACAUACCACACAUAAGGGAGUUAUCUCACAAACAUAAGAUCUUGAUCACAAAGAACCUGUGAGAGAUAAAGAAGGCUCAAUUUCUGUCACCACUGUUGAAGAAAUCUACUCAAGACCAUGCCAUAAGAUGAAGAAAUAACUAUCACCUUCAGUAGAUGAGAGAUGGCAACACUUUCGGAAUAUUUUGUAUCAGACCAUAAAAGCAUAACAUGAAAUUAAAAUAU